Capsella rubella is the source of this 810-nucleotide long non-coding RNA. RefSeq lists it as uncharacterized. The transcript is spliced from 4 exons. The record is from RefSeq and is a predicted model, not a curated record. Lineage: Eukaryota; Viridiplantae; Streptophyta; Magnoliopsida; Brassicales; Brassicaceae.
AUUCUUCUCACGCCGGCGAUUUCACUUCGCCUUUUCAGGGAAAAAUCAAAAACCCUAAUUACCAAAGAUUCACUCGUCUUUGUCAUCUUCUAAAGCAAAUCCUCAUCUAGGUCUCUCCAGAUUUCGAUAAAGCUCAAGAAAUUUAGGAUCUUUAAACUCAAAUUUGAAUCCCCUGAGGUUGGGUUUGCCAAUUUCAUUAUGAGCUCUAUCAAUAUCACUAACGUCACCGUAUUGGACAAUCCAGUGCCUUUUGUUAACCCAUUCCAGUUCGAGAUCUCUUACGAGUGCUUAAAGACGAUUUAGAAUGGAAGCUUAUCUACGUAGGAUCGGCUGAAGAUGAAACCUAUGAUCAGGUUUUGGAAAGUGCUUGACUUCUCUUAAAGAAGAGUGGCGGAUCAGAAUUUGCAGCGGGAUUAGGAGUCUGGAGAUUUCAAAUCAUCAUAGCCACGAAAGUACUUAGAAUUGGCUCAGUCCGAGGUUUUGCUUCAUCAUAACCACUAGGUCGAGUCAGUGGUUCCAGUUCAUCAAAACCACUUGGUUCCAACAAGAGGUUUUGCUUCAUCAUUGCCACUAGAUCAUGCUAUCCCGGCCACCAGGUCCAGUACUUUGGUGGGAGCAUUUGCUGAUGUGUUGUACCUUGUGGCUGCACACCCUUAAGCAGAAGAAAAUUGCAGAAUGUGAGAAAUCUAACUGUGGCUGAUUACAUCAGAUAAGAUUGCAAAUUGUGAGAAAUCUAACCGGAUGAUUGGCAAAGCAUUGUUCAACAGAUAAAAGAUUAACCAAUUCAUUAUAAAUAACUGAACUUCUUAA